RNAcentral lists this ribosomal RNA (677 nucleotides) under Cenchrus echinatus. RNAcentral's name for it is "eukaryotic LSU rRNA". The stretch from base 259 to 414 matches the Rfam family "5.8S ribosomal RNA". Lineage: Eukaryota; Viridiplantae; Streptophyta; Magnoliopsida; Poales; Poaceae. The record is from RNAcentral.
AGUCGUAACUGGGUUUCCCGUAGGGUGAACCUGCGGAAGGAUAUUGUCGUGACCCUUAAACAAAAUAGACCGCGAACGUGUCAUCCAUGUCGCGCGGGCAUCCGCUCGCGCUUGGCCCCCGACCUUCUUUUCGAGGGGGAGGGGCCACAAAAGAACCCACGGCGCCGAAGGCGUCAAGGAACACUGAUAUUGCCUUGCUCGGGGCUGCGGUUGGCUUGCUGAUCGCACCCUGUGCAGCGAUGCUAUCUUAAUCCACACGACUCUCGGCAACGGAUAUCUCGGCUCUCGCAUCGAUGAAGAACGUAGCAAAAUGCGAUACCUGGUGUGAAUUGCAGAAUCCCGCGAACCAUCGAGUUUUUGAACGCAAGUUGCGCCCGAGGCCUUCUGGCUGAGGGCACGCCUGCCUGGGCGUCACGCCAAAAGACACUCCCAACCCAUCCAUGGGGAAGGACGUGGUGUUUGGCUCACCGUGCCGUAGGGUGCGGCGGGCCGAAGUUGGGGCUGCCGGCAUAAGUUGUCGGGCACCGCACGUGGUGGGCGACUCUCAGUUGUUCUCGGUGUAGUGUCUCGGCAUGGAGCUGGUUCAUUGGCCCUAAGGACCCAUACAUGACCGAAGCGCUCUGUCGCUCGGACCGCGACCCCAGGUCAGGCGGGACUACCCGCUGAGUUUAAGCAUA